This 250-nucleotide ribosomal RNA is filed under the name uncultured prokaryote. RNAcentral's name for it is "partial 16S ribosomal RNA". It matches the Rfam family "Bacterial small subunit ribosomal RNA", at positions 524 to 773 of the family's 1533-position model. The record is from RNAcentral.
UACGUAGGGAGCAAGCGUUAUCCGGAUUUACUGGGUGUAAAGGGCGUGUAGGCGGGAAAGCAAGUCAGAUGUGAAAACCAUGGGCUCAACCCAUGGCCUGCAUUUGAAACUGUUUUUCUUGAGUGAUGGAGAGGCAGGCGGAAUUCCGUGUGUAGCGGUGAAAUGCGUAGAUAUACGGAGGAACACCAGUGGCGAAGGCGGCCUGCUGGACAUUAACUGACGCUGAGGCGCGAAAGCGUGGGGAGCAAAC